Molecule: ribosomal RNA, 133 nt
Filed under: uncultured bacterium
Lineage: Bacteria
Description: partial 16S ribosomal RNA
Rfam family: Bacterial small subunit ribosomal RNA
Source: RNAcentral
AGGGAAUAUUGCGCAAUGGACGAAAGUCUGACGCAGCGACGCCGCGUGUGGGAGGAAGCCUUUCGGGGUGUAAACCACUGUCAGAGGGGAAGAACCGUGUCAUUUCGAAUAGGCUUGGCACCUGACGGUACCC